CAUGUAGGCGGAUUGAUAAGUUUGAAGUGAAAUCCUAUAGCUUAACUAUAGAACUGCUUUGAAAACUGUUAAUCUAGAAUGUGGGAGAGGUAGAUGGAAUUUCUGGUGUAGGGGUAAAAUCCGUAGAGAUCAGAAGGAAUACCGAUUGCGAAGGCGAUCUACUGGAACAUUAUUGACGCUGAGAUGCGAAAGCGUGGGGGAGCAAACA
This 208-nucleotide ribosomal RNA is filed under the name uncultured Arcobacter sp. RNAcentral's name for it is "partial 16S ribosomal RNA". It matches the Rfam family "Bacterial small subunit ribosomal RNA", at positions 568 to 774 of the family's 1533-position model. The record is from RNAcentral. Lineage: Bacteria; Pseudomonadati; Campylobacterota; Epsilonproteobacteria; Campylobacterales; Arcobacteraceae.